Molecule: ribosomal RNA, 328 nt
Filed under: uncultured eukaryote
Lineage: Eukaryota
Description: partial 18S ribosomal RNA
Rfam family: Eukaryotic small subunit ribosomal RNA
Source: RNAcentral
CCCUUAGAUGUUCUGGGCUGCACGUGCGUUACACUGAUGCAUUCAACGAGCUUAUAACCUUGGCCGAGAGGCCUGGGCAAUCUUGUUAACGUGCAUCGUGAUAGGGAUAGAUUAUUGAAAUUAUUAAUCUUGAACGAGGAAUUCCUAGUAAACGCAGAUCAUCAAUCUGCAUUGAUUACGUCCCUGCCCUUUGUACACACCGCCCGUCGCACCUACCGAUUGGAUGGUCCGGUGAAGCCUCGGGAUUGUGGUUCUUGCCGCUUUAUUGUGGCGUGACCGCGAGAACUUGUCUAAACCUUAUCAUCUAGAGGAAGGUGAAGUCGUAACA